GAAAGUUCAACCCUGCAGGGAGGAUCAGAACAGCAGUGCUGGAAACAUUGGAAAAUAUAAUAAAUAUGUAGCCAAGAAGAUUACAUCAUGUCACAUACUAUUUCAUACACUGAGAAACUCAAGUAGAAGAAACUGAACAGCUGAAGAUAUGAAAACAUUUGAAGGAGUUUUUGGAAACGUUAACACAGCUUAAAGGAAACAAUAAGAUACACAAAGAUUCUUCUAUAAGAUAAAGAGCUUUGUUACGUUCACAAAUAAUGCAAGUCUCAUUGCUUACUCUGUGAAUCUCAUCACCUAAGGCACCAAUGUUAUUGCUGCUUAUAGAGAUGUUUUAUUAUAUCUGGCUCGUGGAAAUGAGAUCUCCUGCCAAUAUAACAGCUCUUCCAAGACGUUUGUACAUGUCAGCAGGCUAAGCAGACAAUUUCUGAGCACUCGGAAAAUUGGUCGUUUAUUUCUGUUCACCAUCAUCCAUCCAUCCUCAGUCUGUAUACCAUCACAAUCUUCCGGGUGCUGUAUUGCCUGACUGUCAUCUCCUUCACCUAUUUGCGCUGUCAUCCAUAUGCCAUCAUCAUUCAGUUCCUGUCAUCUAUUGGAGACACCAGAACUUCUCUACAAGGCAUAACUGCUUCCAUCAGACGUACAGCAGCUCGAGCCUAACGCAAUUCCUGCCCGAUUUGGCCUUGUCCUGGUUUUACAUUACGAUGAGAGGACGCCGAGUGGAUUUACACACCACAUUUUAUAGUAACCGCUAUAUUGUGUUGUGAUGACAACAGAUUUUGUCACAUAAACCUGUGUUCCCCAACUCCAGCCCUCGGGGCCCACCUUCCGGUCAUGCUUUCAGGAUUUCCUUAGUAUUGAGCAGGUGAUACUUCAGGCAUUCCUUCUGUGGGAUAUUCUCAAAUCCUGACCGGUAGGUGGGCCCUCAGGACUGGAGUUGGGGAACACUGACAUAAAUAAAACAAAACGUUAUAUUCUCUCCAUACAGGAAAACAUACAUUUCUCCAACUAGUGCCUAGCAUUCCCCAUGAUCCUGCAAGAGCGCCAAUUGGAAGGGUAUGGUACCAGAUUUUCAGUGGAAUUUUCAAGAUGGAUAUGCCGCGGAUUUGUUGUGGAUUUCACACUACACAUUGCCUAGGGUUAUUCGCAGCAUAAGUUGACAUACUUUAAAGCGAACCUGUCAACUUGAAAACACAACGCAAUCUGCGGGAAGCAGGUCAUAUUGCAAGAGGCGUUGACCAGAUUGAUAUAUAGUUUUGUGGUAAAAAUUUAGUAUAACCUGUAUUUCAUUCAUAUAAAUUCCUGCUCAUUCUGGGCUUUGACUUCCAGGAGGCGGUGCUAUCAGUGACUGACAGCUCUCUCUGUAUACACAGUCAUAGAGGGACGGCUGUUAAUCCCCGAUUACUUCUUGACUUCGAGGACUAUAAUAAGCAGGAAUCUAUAUGAAUGAAAUACAGGUAAGGCUACAUUCACACGUCAGUAUUUUUCUAUAUCCCGAAUUUCGGUCCGUUUUUUGCGAUCCGUUGUUCCUGAAAAUGUUUCCGUAUGUCAUCCGUUUUUUGCGGAUCCGCAAAAAA
Bufo gargarizans (Asiatic toad) is the source of this 1574-nucleotide long non-coding RNA. RefSeq lists it as uncharacterized. The transcript has 4 exons. The record is from RefSeq and is a predicted model, not a curated record. NCBI's taxonomy places the organism in Eukaryota, Metazoa, Chordata, Amphibia, Anura, Bufonidae.